AUUCCAAGUCAGUCCAUCAUUUGGCAACCUAACUGUAUUAGAAUUGUUAGCUGCCUUGUGAAGGGCUUCCUUGUAAU
Molecule: microRNA precursor, 77 nt
Organism: Lucilia cuprina (Australian sheep blowfly)
Lineage: Eukaryota; Metazoa; Arthropoda; Insecta; Diptera; Calliphoridae
Rfam family: mir-980 microRNA precursor family
Source: Rfam